CCUGAUGCAGCCAUGCCGGUGUGUGAAGAAGGCCUUCGGGUUGUUAAGCACUUUUAGUAGGGAGGAAGGGGUUAUGUUUACGCAUCAACAAUGACGUUACCUACAGAAGAAGCACCGGCUACUCCGUGCCAGCAGCCGCGGUAUACGGAGGGUAGCGUUAAUCGGAAUUACUGGGGUUAAGGCACAGGCGGUUAGAUAAGUUCAGAUGAAAUCCCCGGGGCUCACUGGGAACUGCAUUUGAAACUGU
Molecule: ribosomal RNA, 247 nt
Filed under: uncultured Aeromonadales bacterium
Lineage: Bacteria; Pseudomonadati; Pseudomonadota; Gammaproteobacteria; Aeromonadales
Description: partial 16S ribosomal RNA
Rfam family: Bacterial small subunit ribosomal RNA
Source: RNAcentral